This is a long non-coding RNA of Meleagris gallopavo (turkey), 4064 nucleotides long. The record is from Ensembl. NCBI's taxonomy places the organism in Eukaryota, Metazoa, Chordata, Aves, Galliformes, Phasianidae.
AAAUAACAUCCUCUAUUUGUUUGUUUUUCUGGCAACAAAUAAUGUGUAAAUAUAUUUUAUGUAUAUAUGUAUAUAUAUAUAUAUUAACAAUAACAUUUUCCUCAUACUUCGAUUUGGUGAUUUUGUUUUGUUUUUUUUUUUGUUUGUUUUUGUUUUGUUUGUUUUUGUUUUUUUGUUUUGUUUUUUUGCUUUUCUCCCACACAAUUCUGUUUUGGGAGACAUCCAGAAGCUGUAACAGGUAAAUAGGCAGGAGUACCACCAGCAGGAAUUAGUACACUCAUUGGAAUUAAAGUUUAUUUGUUGCCAUUUGUCACAGCCUUACUAAAAUCUGCUGCUUAAACUUAUUUCCCUAAAUGAUUUGAAGUGAGUGUAUAUAUGCAUGUAGCGUCUGUCUACCUAUCUGUCUAUCUACCUACCUACCUAUCUAUUUUGUUUGCAUUUAUACAUUGCUUCUGUUAGUUGGCCCUAAAGGGAAGCCAUCCUCUUGCAAUAUUGUGAACUGCAGACUUCUGUGUAUUGCUGCUUAUUAUUUCUAAGGAAGAAGCAGGUAAUCAAACUUUCAGAUACAAAGGUUUUCAGUGAAUAUCUUUUAUCUUUUCCAAGACUGAGGGAAAAUGGUAUGAUGUGUUGUGCUGUCUGUGUUAUCUGGAGUAGAACAUUUAAGGUCAAGUUGCAAAUUAUCUGUGUUAUUGUGUUGAUAAAAUGCUCAUCUUCUGUUGCAGGUUCUUUUCUAAGGAAUUUUGAAACAGAUUAUCUCUUGUGGACAACAAAAUACUACAUGAUCACUCAAAGCCAUUACCUGUGGGGGGGAGGAAAGAUUUGAUAAAGAGAGCUGACAGUCCAGAGAGAUGUCCACAUGAUGGUGAUUGGCUUCUGGGGAAACAAAGAAAUAAAUAAAAGAACACUUGCAAAACACACAAAUAGCAAGGCAUUAUGGAGGAAAAAAAAAUGGAAGACAAGUCAGAGAAACUCCAGGUAAAUAUCUAAGUCCUGCCUUAAAUGUAGAUCAGCUGGAUUUUUGUUCAGGUAUUUACAGGUAAACAAGGUAAAUUAAUAAUAGGGUGGUUUACCUAUCAAUUUCUUUGCUGCAGCAUAUAAAAUAGAGCAUUUGUUUAUGCAAUUCCAGGAACAUUUUGGGGAAGAAAAGCUCCCCUAAUAAUCAUCCUAUGUAUAGUACUGCACAGUUAAUGGGACAAAAAAUACUGUUUUGGGGUGAGAUUUUCUGAAUAGUGUGAUUCCUGCCAGAAAGCUGAUGUUUUAUUUGAUAUACCAAGCGAGAUUAAAUUGGUUAAAAACCAUCAUAAAUAGUGCAGUACAUUUAUUUCCUGUAUUGUGUGGGAACUUACUUUUCUAUGAAUUCAAGCUCUACUGCUGCAUAAAAGAUUAUCAUCCAACUGCAGUAUUGAUGACAUGCAGAUGUAGGCUCUCUAUGAGCUACCAGUAGCCCAAGUAGCCAAGUAGCAAGAAUUUUUACCUCAGACUCAGCCAACCUAUAAUCUAUGCAUAAUUUAUUCUUUUAGUAUCUAUAAACAUCUAACACAUAAUUACUGCAGUGAAACAAAAAGUUGUCCACAGGGUUCUUGUAUUCAACUUUUCUUGGGUCUUCUAGGUUAUCACAGAAUCACAGAAUGGCCAGGGUUGGAAGGGACCUCAAGGAUCACGAAUCUCCAACACCCUGCCACAUGCAUGGCCACCGUUUUGUACAGCUAUGGUAGAGUUACAGAUGAGCAUUAAUCCAUACAUUUAUGCACACCUUCUACUCGAAGGAAAUUUCAAAGGAAACUGAUAAAUCUUAGAGAGGUAACAUUCACAUUUGCAUAUGGUGAGCACUGCAUCUACAUUAGCAAAAAACAGAGUGACUGUUUAUGUGCAGAGAUUAUUGUAAUGACUGCUUUGCUCUCAUGGAGCACAAGGUCUCAUAGAUGGCUGCUGAGCCAUUCUCUCUUUGGUAGCAGGUGUAGAUUGAAGCAAUCAGAGAAAAACUUGGCAUUCUUGUCUGUGAAAUACUCCAGGAAAUACAACUCACUACAUGGUAGCACAGUUGCAAGUUGUUAAUGAUGGAAUCAUGCAUUAAUUUGGUAUGAUACUGCUCUAUGGUGCUCAAAUUGGAGCAAGAAAAGUUGGUAUGCAUUUACAAAGUAGACUGUAAUAUCCCGUGCAGCUGUUUGCAUUUGCUUAAUUUAACAGCAGUGACUUCACAUUAGCAUCACCAUGGUACCAUAAAUGCACUCUAAGAGAAAAUGAUACAGCGUCUUAAAGUCAGAUAAUGCAAGUUAAGUGCUUUGUAUUUCAGGUGUCGUUUUUUUUUGUGGAUUUUUUUUUUUUAAUGGUUAAGAAAUACAUUUUUAUGCAUAAGCUGGACUUUAAGGUCUGAUAUGUUUCUUUUUGGUACAAGUACCAGGAUUUUAUAAAAAUACUGUGCUCCUGUAGACAGAUGGUUUAAACACUAAAUUAAGAGCUUGAACAGAAAUUGCUAACAUAAAAUGUAGAUGCUACGUGGGCAGUUCUGCUUUUGGAGCCUUUACGAGAAUAUCAGAGCUUUUUUGUUCAACAGUAAAAAGGUAAGUAAAUACCCAUCAAGAGAAACACAGUGCUGUUUUAACACAGAUAACGAUCUAAAACGUUGACUAUGGCAUAAACUGUUUUGUACACUUACCUGUGUAACACUGGCACAGAGCUGCUUGCUUCCCUUUUUAAGGGUUUCCUGAAGUCACACAGAAAUGUGUAAACUGAUGUUUUGAGAAUUAUGUAAAACCUGGAUGGACCCUGGGAUAACACAGUGUAUCAAAAGAACAGAAAAAUUGUACUUUGGACAGAACUAUCAGUGCCUGUUAGCCAUCAGCAUAAGAACACAACCUCAGUUGGUGCCACUUUUAAUGAUUAGGAAUAAUACACUGUAAAACAAAAAGUGAAAAAAUUCCAGCGUGAUACUUAUAAACAAAGAACAAAUAGAAAACAAACAAGAGGAUUUAUUUUUUUUUUUUUUACCUUCACUUGUAGUAUUAUUAAUACAACAGAUAAUUUAGUCUGAGGUAAUACCACUAUUAUCUUUUUAGUCCUUCAAGGACUACUUCAUGUAAUGUCCAUUACUAUCACUUAAUUUUUAAAAGCGAGACUUGAUAAGUGAAUCAUGUAAAUCCCUUUUUAGUUAGGGACUUGUGGCUGCAAGAGUAAAAUGAGAACUAAGCCUAUGCAGCAAGAACUACAGAACGUUAAGUGUCUUACAUGGCACAUCAGUAGCCCGUCAGUACUUAAAGUACAGUUAUUAUUAAUUAUUAUUAUUAUGUAAAAAUCAGACAUUUCAACAGAAAACAGACUUUGUUCCACAACAGCCCUUAAGAAAUUUAGAACACUGUUAGCUUGCUUAAAUUAGCUAAACAAAAGAUGAAUUCAGAAGUCCAGAUUUUGGCAUGAGGUAAAACCAUGUGCAUUUAUUUCAACUGCAUUUUAGAAUUAGUAAGCAUAAAAUUAAAUACGUUGACUGCAAUGAAUUCAGUCAUACAAGUGCAAGCUUUCAGCUAUAAUGUAUUUUAUGGCAGUUUAUUUAAAAAAUGUACCAGUAAAUCAUAAAAGAGGGAUCAUGUCCAUUUAACUUUUAUUGAAGUAUACAGGAGGUUUUCUUUAGAAUCAAAUAUGAGCAUGAAUAUAUGGCCAAACGUAAAAUCUAUCAAAUUCAGUGAAAAUUUUCUGACUUUAAAUAGUAGCUGUAAGAAUGACCAAUAUAUAUUCUUUGUUACAACCGCCCUCACUCUACAAGUAAAAAAAAAUAAUAAACAUUCAGUAAACAUUCUUUCCUAAGGUAGUUUUCCCUUAUAUAUCAGUGAUUUAUCCAUUUCUUGUAUACAUAACUUUUUUAAACAUACCAAUCAGUGGUUCUCACAAUUGAAAAAUAAAAGCACAAAAAAGUUUACACUCUUGUACAGGUAAAUAAAAGAUCAUCUUGAAUUAAACUGUAUAUCCGUAAGGGCAUAGUAUAGUUUCAGUUUCAUUGCCUAUUACAUAAUUAGCUUCUUACAUACAAAUAUUGACAUAUUUGGCUUGUGCUUCAAAGCCUCUGUGUCUAG